GGUCAAGUAAUGAAGUGCACAUGGUGGAUGCCUUGGCAGUCAGAGGCGAUGAAAGACGUGAUAGCCUGCGAUAAGCGUCGGUGAGGUGGCAAUAUCCUGUGACCCGGCGAUUUCUGAAUGGGGAAACCCACCUAAGAUAACUUAGGUAUCAUAAUUUAUUUUAGGAGGCGAACCGGGAGAAGUGAAACAUCUCAGUACCCCGAGGAAAAGACAUCAAUAGGGAUUCCCCAAGUAGCGGCGAGCGAACGGGGAGG
This 254-nucleotide ribosomal RNA is filed under the name Acidithiobacillus sp. MC6.1. RNAcentral describes it as "partial 23S ribosomal RNA". It matches the Rfam family "Bacterial large subunit ribosomal RNA", at positions 1 to 265 of the family's 2925-position model. The record is from RNAcentral. Lineage: Bacteria; Pseudomonadati; Pseudomonadota; Acidithiobacillia; Acidithiobacillales; Acidithiobacillaceae.